This 253-nucleotide ribosomal RNA is filed under the name uncultured bacterium. RNAcentral's name for it is "partial 16S ribosomal RNA". It matches the Rfam family "Bacterial small subunit ribosomal RNA", at positions 524 to 776 of the family's 1533-position model. The record is from RNAcentral.
UACGAAGGGGGCUAGCGUUGUUCGGAAUCACUGGGCGUAAAGCGCGCGUAGGCGGACCUGCAAGUCGGGGGUGAAAGCCCGAGGCUCAACCUCGGAACUGCCUUCGAUACUGCGGGUCUCGAGUCCGGGAGAGGUGAGUGGAAUUCCUAGUGUAGAGGUGAAAUUCGUAGAUAUUAGGAAGAACACCAGUGGCGAAGGCGGCUCACUGGCCCGGUACUGACGCUGAGACGCGAAAGCGUGGGGAGCGAACAGG